CUGAAUGAGACAGUUUGAACCGGUCUGAUCCUGCUUCAUCUUGGGCAGACUAGCACCACCAACGGUCCUGAACAGGACAAACAAGUGAAGCCAACUUCAUAUGAGAAUGGCAGAUGUUAGUUGGUGCCAGAAUUGGCAAGUCAUUCCAAACCGCAAUCGGGCCAGAAGAAUGUGGUGCAUGUGGGCCAGUUGGUGUUCAAAGUUUAGGAGGUCUUGUGUGCUUUGUGCCACAUUCAGCUCUACAGUGGUCUCCUCAUCCCUUUGUCUCCCCUGGCUUCUGCGCAAAAGUAGUAGCAUCUCCCGUUGAUUUGCCUCUAGGGUCUCAACUUUUUGAAGGAGAACCUGAAGUGUAUCUGAAAUUAAGAAGCCACAUAACUUAAGCGAGUCUUGAUCUAUAGUCAUGGACUCAGAAAUUUUGGGCAGUUCAUCAUUGUCUGCAAGCAAGACAUUAACAUACACAGCACGUAGAUAUACAGUAUAUCCAGUGUGUAAUUUCUGGUAAGUUGCUGCCUACCUUCACUGCUGUCAUAAUAUUUCAGGGGUCUUUUUGUUGGCCUUUUUGAUGGUACAGUUUCUUCUUCGGUAUCAAAAGUGGAUUUGUGCUCUGCUGUUCUGCUCCAUUUGAGGGCUCUUUCAAAGUUACCUGAAUGUCAAAUGGUAACAAUAAUUAGACACUCAUAAGAAUGUUAUGACCACCUCCACCUCGCUAUCUAUUUUGUCAGCUCCACUGAUCAUACAAGCCACUGUGUAAUUAUAUAGUAAAAAAGUGUAAUUGUAUAAUAAUUCUCUCUGUAUACAUCUGUUUGAAAGGUUUUAUCAGUCAUUUUGAAUCUAAUAAAUUACAGUAAUAUGUAAUGUAAAAUUGAAUAUCCACUGCAGUCAACAUUUUAUUAAAAAGUCUUUAUUGUACAACUGCUCAUUGCAGCUUCUGUCAGGAUCAAGGAAAUAAAGUUUUUAUUUCCAUCUUCUAAUAAAAGCUUUUUAUUUACUGAAGAAUGCCAUAGAUAUUCAAACAUUUGAACAGCAAACAUUUGUACAGUAAAUUGACCAAAUAAUGUGUAUUCUCUCACUUCUUAUACAGUGUGUGCAUGAUUGGAAGCUCAGCUUUACAUGUGGUGGCAAAGACUCUGAUUUUUCUGGAAAUCCAGUUGUCUUCAUCAGGAGUCUCCUCCUUUUUUGCUCUUUUGGUUGGGUUAUUUGGCGGCCAGUAACUGUACUGUUGCUGAAAUACAUGCAGCAUGCACACAGCUACAGUAAUUGUAUUUCUGUGAUAUUAAUAACAAUAAACAAUAUAACAGUUGUUAUAAUGAUUACAAAUAUUUGUCAUACCCCAUUUUCUUCAUAGGUCCAGCACUGAGCCACAAUGCCAACCAGAUUUUCCUCAGUAAAUUCCACAAUGUAGUACAUUCUGUAGAAAAGACAGUACGUGUUCAUUUUAAUACAACUUUAAGAGAUAAUCAGAGACAUUUUGCAAUGCAUAGCAGUACACUCACAUGGCAAAAAUAAUGUAUAUCCUAUUCAAAAUGUUUUUUCUUUUAAUUGUCAAAUACUUUUUAGGUGUGUAUGAUGCCUGUUCUGACAUUCACUAUCCCUUCACCAGCAUUUAUUAUCUGACUGCAGGACUGCUAUUGUCAGAUAAUGGAACCAUAGAAGUCAAAAUAGGCAUAAUAUUCAGGCAUGAUCUUCUAAUUGAAUAUACCAAAUAAUAAAAGUGACAUGGUGUCUUGGUAUCUAAUAUCCAUUUUAACCCUUUAAUCCUAAGGCUUAAAAAGUUCCUUGAUUUAAUUAAAAUUACUUACAUAUUCUUUAAAUGUUGAAUUGGUGCCUUAUCUCCAUCUAAUCUUAAUGGCAUAUUUUGUUUACACUUGAUGCAAUAUGCCCAUAAAUAUAGAUUUGUCUUCUAUGUGAAGCCUGAUGGCUCUCUUCUCAAUUUUAUCACAGGUGAUCCAUUUCAUUGUAGUGGUAUUUUCUUUGAAGCUGAAAGCCCCAAUGAGAAACGAGGUGCAUGGCUCCAUGAAGAGGGGUGCAGGAUGAUGGUACACUCGACAAAGGACCUUUCCAUCUUUCUCCAUCUCAUCUAUAACUUCGCAACAUUCCUCACCUUCAAGCAAGUAUGCUCUGUCCUUAAUGCUUCUUGUUUUUUUCGCUACAAGGUCAUGGAGUGGUGCUGACUUUCUUUCCUCAAUACGGUUGGCAAUCUGUGUGAGGGGGUGUGUUCCGCUAUGUACCAUUCUCUUCAAGGUAUGCAGGUAUGUUUCAAAUUUGAAAGCACUGCAGUUGUCCAGCCCAUUGAAUAACACAGCAUCUUCCGUAAUAUGAAGCAAAGAGUGAGUGUUGUACACCAGAAAUUCUCUUCCAUAAAGCUCCCUCCCUCUGCUGACAAAGUACUGAAGGAGGUUUUGUGCGUACACUGCGUACUGUUUGAUAAGUGAGGGACAAACUAGGAUGCACAUUGCCACACUGAAUGUAAGGAAAUGGAGGUACAGGUCUCUCUUCAAUAUUCCUUUUAACACUAUCUUUCCUGUGUACAGCAUGAACUGCCUGAACUCUGUUGCUUUCCAUCUCUCAAGCUCAUUUAGGCCUCGAGGAGUGCGGGAAAAGAUGGAGGGGAUUUCACUUUUUAUGUGAGCAAGCCUACUGCUCACUUCUUCUAUUUGGACAGAAGACAUCCUGAAACCUUUCUCUCCCCUGCUCCACAUGUGCAGAAGUUUUUUCAUGACUCCUAGGCAGGCUUGAUGCAUGUAAUCAACAGGAAAACUUCUCACCAUAUCAAUGGGCAAACUGACCAGUGGUGUAUUUCCGUUGUGAUGCUGUGGCUGAAUUUGGUUCCUAAAAGAGGCAUCUGUGCGUAAGGUGAGGUCAUCUGUCUGCUGAUAUGUGACCCUUUUAAGCCACUCGCCUUUUUGGUCACAUUUAUCACAGCCAUAAUAACCAGAGCACAGCAUUGUGUUGCGAAUAAAGGCUUUCGCUGGAGCAUCACAGACAAUGCAAAGAACGUUGAUUUGCAACGCUCUUCCCUUGUAUUGAAGGCCACCACUUAACAGUUCUUUGAGGUCUGUGACCAUGUCAUCCAGGAAAUCAAGAUUGUGUGGACGAUUUUUUCCACGUUAGUGUUGUGGGGAAAACAGUUAUGGGAUUGAGGUGGACAGCACACAGAACAGGCCACAUAAUUCUUGCUGAGCUCUUGAACAAUGGCAGUCCAUCAACAUUAAAAGACAGGUUGAUUGUGUCCGACAGAUGUUCAGGAGGGUACUUCUCCAGGGUCUCUGUCAACUUCUGAUGCAGUGUAUAAUGAAAGUAUUCUAUGCCAGAUUUCUGCUUUUUUGCUAGCUGCCUUGGUGUCUUAAGUAGACUACGUGCUGAAGAGGGGAGUUCUGUGUGGCCAUGUGUUUGAAGAACCUUCAACAGCUUGUCAAGGGCGUUGUUCUUAACCUGAUUUGCGUCUUCCCAUGUGGAUGAUCCUCCAGCAGGCUGAGGGGGUGGACUAUCUUCAGUGUCCUCCAUAUAACUAGAGGUUAGCUUUUGUCUGAUGCCUUCCCCUCUUCAGGAUUGCUGAGGCAAGCCUAUAGACCUUAGAAGCUACAACACCCUCUUUUUGGGACCAAGAUAUUAUGCUGCUUUGUCUGGAACAGGAAUCCGAAGGAAAACUGGCAUUAACCUUCAAAGGGAAUUUAACAGAUUUCUCUAAUGUUACAGACAUACCAUGAAAUGGUUGUGAGUGGGGUGAGAGAGUGGGGUGAGAGAGUGAGUGGAGCCCUCUUCUGUUUGCUGUUGUUUAUUAAUAAAGAAUAUUGAAUUUU
Long non-coding RNA from Astyanax mexicanus (Mexican tetra), 3800 nucleotides. RefSeq lists it as uncharacterized. NCBI's taxonomy places the organism in Eukaryota, Metazoa, Chordata, Actinopteri, Characiformes, Acestrorhamphidae. The record is from RefSeq and is a predicted model, not a curated record. The transcript has 8 exons.